RNAcentral lists this unclassified non-coding RNA (262 nucleotides) under Hevea brasiliensis (rubber tree). Lineage: Eukaryota; Viridiplantae; Streptophyta; Magnoliopsida; Malpighiales; Euphorbiaceae. The record is from RNAcentral.
CGGGCUCUUUUCCGAUCUGCCCUCGUCUCUUAAGAACUGGAAGAAUCGUUUCUUCAUUGUGAGGAGCAAAGAUCCGAGCCGCUUUGAGGACAUCCGAGCCGCUUUGAGGACUUCCCCCGCAGCUGGUGGUACCAGGGACCCUUGCUUCCGAACCAUAUUACCCUGAGCGAAGAGGAAAGUUUGAUAGUGAUGGAUCUGAAGAGUGAGGCUGCCACUAAAAAGUAUUCUUGUUUGGAUUCGGUGACUGCCGAGCUGCACCAUU